GUACGCUGGCGGCACGCCUAACACAUGCAAGUCGAACGAAGUAGCAAUACUUAGUGGCAGACGGGUGAGUAACAUGUAGGUAUCUGCCCUUUGGCCUGGAAUAACACGAGGAAACUUGUGCUAAUACCGGAUAAGUCUUUACGGAGAAAGCUUUAUGCGCUAUUGGAUGGGCCCGCGUUAGAUUAGUUUGUUGGUGAGGUAACGGCUCACCAAGGCGACGAUCUAUAGCUGGUCUGAGAGGAUGAUCAGCCACACUGGGACUGAGACACGGCCCAGACUCCUACGGGAGGCAGCAGUGGGGAAUAUUGGACAAUGGGGGCAACCCUGAUCCAGCGAUGCCGCGUGAGUGAUGAAGGCCCUAGGGUUGUAAAACUCUUUCGUCAGGGAAGAUAAUGACGGUACCUGAAGAAGAAGAUCCGGCUAACUCCGU
This 430-nucleotide ribosomal RNA is filed under the name uncultured bacterium. RNAcentral's name for it is "bacterial SSU rRNA". It matches the Rfam family "Bacterial small subunit ribosomal RNA", at positions 31 to 506 of the family's 1533-position model. The record is from RNAcentral.